UGAACAGCUGGUUUACUGAAAAUAGGCGUAUCCUUAUAAAACAAACAGGUUGUUGUCGAUGUAAGAACUAAACGUUUAUCUGGAAUUGGACCAGUAUAAUUAAAUGUUUCUUUUAAAUUAUUGGAUGUCGGCCUGUUGACAUGAUGACUAUAGGCUACAGACCAAUUUUUUGAUUAUUUGAUUAUAAUUGUUUGAUUAUAAUUUUCGAUUGUUAUUUAUGUAUUUCUUAUUUAAAUAUUUAUAUAUAAGUUUUUGAGGAUUUUCUAUAUGUAUGUAAUUUUACAACAUAUUUGUAUAUAAGUGGAAAUAAAUGGCGUGUGUAUGCA
Molecule: long non-coding RNA, 326 nt
Organism: Gigantopelta aegis
Lineage: Eukaryota; Metazoa; Mollusca; Gastropoda; Neomphalida; Peltospiridae
Exons: 2
Source: RefSeq, a predicted model, not a curated record